Molecule: ribosomal RNA, 200 nt
Filed under: uncultured bacterium
Lineage: Bacteria
Description: partial 16S ribosomal RNA
Rfam family: Bacterial small subunit ribosomal RNA
Source: RNAcentral
AGAGUUUGAUCAUGGCUCAGGACGAACGCUGGCGGCGUGCUUAACACAUGCAAGUCGAGCGGAAAGGCCCUUCGGGGUUCUCGAGCGGCGAACGGGUGAGUAACACGUGAGGAACCUGCCCUCAGCUCUGGGAUAGCCUCCGGAAACGGGGAUUAAUACCGGAUAGGACCUGGCCCUGCAUGGGGCUGGGUGGAAAGUUU